Molecule: ribosomal RNA, 429 nt
Filed under: Chloroflexota bacterium
Lineage: Bacteria; Bacillati; Chloroflexota
Description: Chloroflexi bacterium partial 16S ribosomal RNA
Rfam family: Bacterial small subunit ribosomal RNA
Source: RNAcentral
UGGGGAAUAUUGCACAAUGGGCGCAAGCCUGAUGCAGCCAUGCCGCGUGUAUGAAGAAGGCCUUCGGGUUGUAAAGUACUUUCGGUCGGGAGGAAGGUGGUAAGGUUAAUAACCUUAUCAAUUGACGUUACCGACAGAAGAAGCACCGGCUAACUCCGUGCCAGCAGCCGCGGUAAUACGGAGGGUGCAAGCGUUAAUCGGAAUUACUGGGCGUAAAGCGCACGCAGGCGGUUGAUUGAGUCAGAUGUGAAAUCCCCGGGCUCAACCUGGGAAUUGCAUCUGAUACUGGUCAGCUAGAGUCUUGUAGAGGGGGGUAGAAUUCCAUGUGUAGCGGUGAAAUGCGUAGAGAUGUGGAGGAAUACCGGUGGCGAAGGCGGCCCCCUGGACAAAGACUGACGCUCAGGUGCAAAAGCGUGGGGAGCAAACAGG